Long non-coding RNA from Pseudophryne corroboree (corroboree frog), 869 nucleotides. RefSeq lists it as uncharacterized. The record is from RefSeq and is a predicted model, not a curated record. The transcript is spliced from 2 exons. NCBI's taxonomy places the organism in Eukaryota, Metazoa, Chordata, Amphibia, Anura, Myobatrachidae.
GCGUGGAAGGACUAGAAAAAAACACAAUUGCUUCCAGUACUUUGAAGACCUACCAAGCAACUUAGGAGGCCUGAGAGAGGUAUCUGGAGUCUCGGUUCAUAGAGGGUCUAGUACUACUCCUGACCAUUUGUACCUGAAUGCAACAGAAUGUCAUAGUUACACUUGCUGCUUGCAAUCCAGUUUGAUUUCAUUCCUUCACUCCAUAUACCUCUGAUGAAACCGCCCCCUUUAAAGGUGGAGAAACGCAUCAGGUGUUUGCAAUUACGACUUUGAACGCAGGUGGAACGCAGCCGGAAGCCCCGAACCCAGAAGUCGCAGAACACGGCCGCAAUCAAGCAUCCCUUGAAGCUCCAGACUUUGCUGCUCAGCUGUGCCUUACCCUGAGAUACACGUGGCACCUACCAGCAAAUGGCACCGCUAACAAGCCUCAGGAAGUGGCAUGUAUGGAAGCCAUUGCAGAGCGGCAACAAUACCUCAGCAAGUGAGUGAGGAUUCCUUCCCUCCCCUUCACGGCUGACACAUACGCUGUGGAAACUUUUCAUUGACAGGACCCACUGUGCUCACCAUAUUGCUGGACAGUCCACACCUUCAGCUUCAAAUUGGUGAAGUAUAUUAAGUUACUGCUAAGCAAGAACUGCAUCUACUAACACUAUUGAACACCAGUUGCUUUAGUUGUCUGUGGCCACUAACAGCCGGCUUAUGCAUGCAAUUCAUUUCAUAUAUUACUAGCAUUGUGCACUAACCAGCAAGUCCAGAGAUAAAAGGACACGUGUCCAAUAUUUUUAAUGUUUCUAUGUUGUGUUGCUUGAAUUUUAAAGUGGUAUCACACUUGUGUAGAAUUUUAUAAUUAAAAUUGUAUUACUACAAAA